CACUCCGAGGAGCGUUGCAACGGAUGCGGUAGGCAGUUCAGUGCCACCCCAUGCAUCCGCCAGGCUCGGACUGUCUCAACGGCGCUCGCUGAUC
RNAcentral lists this non-coding RNA (94 nucleotides) under Cupriavidus taiwanensis. Its description in RNAcentral is "SAH_riboswitch". It matches the Rfam family "SAH (S-adenosyl-L-homocysteine) riboswitch aptamer". The record is from RNAcentral. Lineage: Bacteria; Pseudomonadati; Pseudomonadota; Betaproteobacteria; Burkholderiales; Burkholderiaceae.